UAUUAUCUCAGCUGUCUGUUUAUAGAGGUUCUAGCGGGGUACAAGCAAUUGUUACUGCCAAUGCAAGAAAACAGGCAGAACAAGAUGAAUCACUGGUUAUGGCUUCGGGAAUCCCUUACACCAUUAUUAGAACUGGCUUGUUGGUAAAUGCACCGGGUGGAAAUCAAGGUUUCAACAUUAAAGAGGGCUGUGCAUCACAAGGAAAGUUGAGCAAGG
This 216-nucleotide unclassified non-coding RNA is filed under the name Hevea brasiliensis (rubber tree). Lineage: Eukaryota; Viridiplantae; Streptophyta; Magnoliopsida; Malpighiales; Euphorbiaceae. The record is from RNAcentral.